RNAcentral lists this long non-coding RNA (1761 nucleotides) under Androctonus crassicauda. Lineage: Eukaryota; Metazoa; Arthropoda; Arachnida; Scorpiones; Buthidae. The record is from RNAcentral.
AAACAAAACAGUUUUUAUUAGCACAGAAAAUUAAAAAAAAAAAAAAAUUUUUUUUUGGUAGUUAAAUGUUGCCAGAAUGUUGUUGAUUUCAAAUCCGAAAUGUUAAUUUUUAAAUAAACUCCGCCAUUAUGAUUUUGCAUUUAAAUCUAGCCCCUUUUCCCUAAAAUAUUCAUCAGUCUGGGUUAUACAAAAUGGUGUUAUCCACGAAAAAUUUCCGAAGAAAGAUGCAUUGACUCAUCAGGCGUGCGACGCCAUGUUAUAAUUUUACUGUGUAAUCACGUGACAUUUCUUUAAUAUAUCUGCGCGCUUCAAUUUUUUCUGUGAUAUGUCAUUCGCUUCAGAAAUACAAAUGUCAUUGGAAAAUCCAAAUAUAUUUUGCCCUUAUAGCCUUAGCAGGAAUCUAGUUUGAGUGCUAGAUUGCUAGACAAAUGAAGGAAUAAACAAUUAACACAAUAGGUAAACAUUGUGCUACCAUUUACCUGUUAAGUUAGAUUGUUUAUGACUGCUUACACUGACUUAAUUAAUCCAAUUGACAUAUAUAAUAAUUUGAAGCACAGAGAAGAGAAAUUGAGCAUUAGUGAAAGCAAAAGAUUAGAUUUUUCUGGAAUAUUUGAAUCUACUGUGCAUAUUAAGUUAAUAUUAUAUAUAGACAAAUACAGUAUAAUGUGACUUGACCCCAGACUUUUGGGGACAGUUCUCAAGAAUAUGAUGACCUUGACUAAUUUUGUUAUCAAAUUUUUAGUUUUGUUUUUUCACUUAUAUCACUAGAUGAACUACACUAUUUAACAUACUGCAUAUUACAAUAUUAUUAACUUUUAAUUAUAUAAAAUUUAUAAAUAUGGUUCAUUAAAUAUAGUAUUUAGUCUCCUUAUAUUGGAACAGAUGAAGAAAUGAAUGAGACAUUCACUUGAUCUAGAUGAGUAAUAAUAGCAGAGAAUUGCUAGCAAAUAGAAAUGAGUGGAGAAUGGAAGGCUUUAUUUUAUGACCAGAGGGGUCAUAUUGAAAUAAUGAUAAAAUAUGAAAUUCAAAAAAAAGAAAUUGAACAAAUUGUCAAAAUUCUAUGAGGGAGAGUUCUAAUUACUAAUUGAAAAAAAUUACUUUAUUUCUCAUUAAUUGUAUAAAAUGCAUAAUCAUAAUACUGUUGAUAUAUUAGAAUAUAAGAUGGCAUAAAUCUAAAAUCUAGUGUGGAUCACUUUAAUAAAACAUGAAUAGUGCAUUUGAGUCUGUCCUUGAAAUUAUUAAAUUAAGAAAAAAUCAAUUUAAUGUAGUUCUCAAAAUUAGAUUUUUGCCAUAGUAUUUUAAUAAUUUUAUAAUAGAGGUUAUACUUAAAAGAGAGUAUUGUUGUUAAUAGAAAUUUUUCAUAAGCUCCAUGUGUGUAAAUGAUAUUCUGCAUGUUGCAAUAGAAUACUGUUACAUUAGAAACCAACCUUUCAGAAUUUAUCACUUCUUUGUAUAUCUUAUUGCUUAUCUCCUAAUGAUUCAAGGCUAUUUCUUUUCCAUACUAUUCCCAAAUAAGACAUGGAAAAGAAAUAGGCUUGAAUGGUUGGGAAAGAAUGAGGUAUAUAAAGAACUAAUAAAUUCUGAAAGGAGUAUAUAUCCUAUGACAAUUAUUUUAGCAAAUGUUUAUAGUAGUUACAGUUGAGCUAAUAUUUUAUAAAUAGGACAAUCUAUCUGAUUUGAUAUACUAAUAUUAUAUAAAUGUGUGAUUUUAGAUAUUUAGGAAAGAAAUUUUAAAUGGUGAAAAUUUUGUAUAGAUACAAA